UACCUAACCAGAAAGCCACGGCUAACUACGUGCCAGCAGCCGCGGUAAUACGUAGGUGGCAAGCGUUGUCCGGAAUUAUUGGGCGUAAAGGGCUCGCAGGCGGUUUCUUAAGUCUGAUGUGAAAGCCCCCGGCUCAACCGGGGAGGGUCAUUGGAAACUGGGAACUUGAGUGCAGAAGAGGAGAGUGGAAUUCCACGUGUAGCGGUGAAAUGCGUAGAGAUGUGGAGGAACACCAGUGGCGAAGGCGACUCUCUGGUCUGUAACUGACGCUGAGGAGCGAAAGCGUGGGGAGCGAACAGGAUUAGAUACCCUGGUAGUCCACGCCGUAAACGAUGAGUGCUAAGUGUUAGGGGGUUUCCGCCCCUUAGUGCUGCAGCUAACGCA
This 384-nucleotide ribosomal RNA is filed under the name Bacillus pumilus. Its description in RNAcentral is "bacterial SSU rRNA". It matches the Rfam family "Bacterial small subunit ribosomal RNA", at positions 476 to 859 of the family's 1533-position model. Lineage: Bacteria; Bacillati; Bacillota; Bacilli; Caryophanales; Bacillaceae. The record is from RNAcentral.